CAGUCGCCACGGUAAUACAGAGGAUGCAAGCGUUAUCCGGAAUGAUUGGGCGUAAAGGGCGCGUAGGCGGACUGAUAAGUCAGGGGUGAAAUCCCAAGGCUCAACCUUGGAACUGCCUUUGAUACUGUUUGUCUUGAGUUCGAGAGAGGUAAGUGGAACUGCGAGUGUAGAGGUGAAAUUCGUAGAUAUUCGCAAGAACACCAGUGGCGAAGGCGGCUUACUGGCUCGAAACUGACGCUGAGGCGCGAAAGCGUGGGGAGCAAACAGGAUUAGAGACCCCUGUAGUCCCUGUCUCUUAUAC
Molecule: ribosomal RNA, 301 nt
Filed under: uncultured bacterium
Lineage: Bacteria
Description: partial 16S ribosomal RNA
Rfam family: Bacterial small subunit ribosomal RNA
Source: RNAcentral